CCUACGGGAGGCAGCAGUGAGGAAUAUUGGUCAAUGGGCUUACGCCUGAACCAGCCAAGUCGCGUGAGGGAAGACUGCCCUAUGGGUUGUAAACCUCUUUUGUCAGGGAGCAACGCCGGCUACGUGUAGCCGGACUGAGAGUACCUGAAGAAAAAGCAUCGGCUAACUCCGUGCCAGCAGCCGCGGUAAUACGGAGGAUGCGAGCGUUAUCCGGAUUUAUUGGGUUUAAAGGGUGCGUAGGCGGAAUGCCAAGUCAGCGGUAAAAUCGCGGGGCUCAACCUCGCUCCGCCGUUGAAACUGGCGUUCUUGAGUGGGCGAGAAGUAUGCGGAAUGCGUGGUGUAGCGGUGAAAUGCAUAGAUAUCACGCAGAACUCCGAUCGCGAAGGCAAGUGUCCGGGGUGCAACUGACGCUGAGGCUCGAAAGUGCGGGUAUCAAACAGGAUUAGAUACCCCUGUAGUC
RNAcentral lists this ribosomal RNA (460 nucleotides) under uncultured bacterium. RNAcentral's name for it is "partial 16S ribosomal RNA". It matches the Rfam family "Bacterial small subunit ribosomal RNA", at positions 338 to 795 of the family's 1533-position model. The record is from RNAcentral.